Non-coding RNA from Micropterus salmoides (largemouth bass), 525 nucleotides. The record is from the annotation of a RefSeq genome assembly. NCBI's taxonomy places the organism in Eukaryota, Metazoa, Chordata, Actinopteri, Centrarchiformes, Centrarchidae.
AUGUUGGACAAACUGUCUAUUCUGCUGAUAGCGCUCUGUCUGCCCUGUUUGAAUGGCCAGGCUAUGGAGUCCAUUCCCUCCACUUCAGUUUUGAAAAAGCCUCAAGAAGCCCUCAGUCUUUCCUGCAGGGGAAGUGGAUUUGAUUUCAGUCAGUAUGGAAUGCACUGGAUCAGACAGCCUUCAGGAAAAGCACUGGAAUGGAUGGGGCUUAUUUACUAUGAUGCAAGUAAAACAGUGUAUGCAAGCAGUGUGCAAGGACGGAUAGAAAUCACCAGAGACAAUAGCAACAGCAUGGUAUAUCUGACACUGUCCAACCUAAAGCCAGAUGACUCUGCUCUGUAUUACUGUGCCAGAUCCACACUGUUUAAUAGAGUGAUGGAACUAGAAGCAGAUGCCAUGGGACAUGAGCUACUUUUUGUAGAUGAGGCCGAUUUUAACCUCAGUAAAACCAGGAGAUGUGGCAGGAACAUUAUUGGACACCGUGCCAUCAUCAAUGUCCCAGGACAAUGUGGUGUGCAGCUAUAA